CGGACGGGUGAGUAACGCGUGAGAAUCUGCCUUUUGGUCGGGGACAACCACUGGAAACGGUGGCUAAUACCGGAUGUGCCUUUAGGGGUGAAAGAUUAAUUGCCAGAAGAAGAGCUCGCGUCUGAUUAGCUAGUUGGUGAGGUAAAGGCUCACCAAGGCAGCGAUCAGUAGCUGGUCUGAGAGGAUGACCAGCCACACUGGGACUGAGACACGGCCCAGACUCCUACGGGAGGCAGCAGUGGGGAAUUUUCCGCAAUGGGCGAAAGCCUGACGGAGCAAUACCGCGUGAGGGAGGAAGGCUCUUGGGUUGUAAACCUCUUUUAUCAGGGAAGAACCAAAUGACGGUACCUGAAGAAUCAGCAUCGGCUAACUCCGUGCCAGCAGCCGCGGUAAUACGGAGGAUGCAAGCGUUAUCCGGGAUUAUUGGGCGUAAAGCGUCCGCAGGUGGCUCAUCAAGUCUGCUGUCAAAGGCAGGGGCUUAACCCCUGAAAGGCAGUGGAAACUGGGGAGCUAGAGUGCAGUAGGGGUAGAGGGAAUUCCCGGUGUAGCGGUGAAAUGCGUAGAGAUCGGGAAGAACAUCGGUGGCGAAAGCGCUCUGCUGGACUGCAACUGACACUAAAGGACGAAAGCUAGGGGAGCGAAUGGGAUUAGAUACCCCAGUAGUC
Molecule: ribosomal RNA, 665 nt
Filed under: uncultured bacterium
Lineage: Bacteria
Description: bacterial SSU rRNA
Rfam family: Bacterial small subunit ribosomal RNA
Source: RNAcentral